GAUGAACGCUGGCGGCGUGCCUAAUACAUGCAAGUAGAACGCUGAAGGAAGGAGCUUGCUCUUUCCGGAUGAGUUGCGAACGGGUGAGUAACGCGUAGGUAACCUGCCUGGUAGCGGGGGAUAACUAUUGGAAACGAUAGCUAAUACCGCAUAACAGUAGAUAUUGCAUGAUAUCUGCUUGAAAGGGGCAAUUGCUCCACUACCAGAUGGACCUGCGUUGUAUUAGCUAGUUGGUGAGGUAACGGCUCACCAAGGCGACGAUACAUAGCCGACCUGAGAGGGUGAUCAGCCACACUGGGACUGGGACACGGCCCAGACUCCUACGGGAGGCAGCAGUAGGGAAUCUUCGGCAAUGGACGGAAGUCUGACCGAGCAACGCCGCGGGAGUGAAGAAGGUUUUCGGAUCGUAAAGCUCUGUUGUAAGAGAAGAACGAGUGUGAGAGUGGAAAGUUCACACUGUGACGGUAUCUUACCAGAAAGGGACGGCUAACUACGUG
This 497-nucleotide ribosomal RNA is filed under the name uncultured bacterium. Its description in RNAcentral is "partial 16S ribosomal RNA". It matches the Rfam family "Bacterial small subunit ribosomal RNA", at positions 28 to 507 of the family's 1533-position model. The record is from RNAcentral.